This 274-nucleotide ribosomal RNA is filed under the name uncultured bacterium. RNAcentral's name for it is "partial 16S ribosomal RNA". It matches the Rfam family "Bacterial small subunit ribosomal RNA", at positions 523 to 796 of the family's 1533-position model. The record is from RNAcentral.
AUACGGAGGGUGCAAGCGUUACUCGGAAUCACUGGGCGUAAAGCGCGCGCAGGCGGCUUGAUAAGUUGGAUGUGAAAGCCCACGGCUCAACCGUAGAACUGCAUCCAAAACUGUCAGGCCAGAGUGUGGGAGAGGAAGAUGGAAUUAGUUGUGUAGGGGUAAAAUCCGUAGAGAUAACUAGGAAUACCAAAAGCGAAGGCAAUCUUCUGGAACACUACUGACGCUGAGGCGCGAAGGCGUGGGGAGCAAACAGGAUUAGAAACCCUGGUAGUCC